Molecule: ribosomal RNA, 840 nt
Filed under: uncultured crenarchaeote
Lineage: Archaea; Thermoproteati; Thermoproteota
Description: bacterial SSU rRNA
Rfam family: Archaeal small subunit ribosomal RNA
Source: RNAcentral
AGAAUGCUAGUCAGCGCUCCCCAGCCAAAGGGGAGUGCGGCAUACAGCUCAGNAGCACGUGGCUAACCUGCCCUUGGGACAGGGACAACCCCGUGGAAACUGGGGCUAAUCCCCAAUAGGCGAAGGCUUCUGGAAUGAACUUUCACCCGAAAGGAUACCUACGCUAUGCUCGUAGGCUUCGCCCAAGGAUGGGGCCGCGACCGAUCAGGUUGUUGGUGAGGCAACGGCUCACCAAGCCUAUAACCGGUGCGGGCCGUGGGAGCGGGAGCCCGGAGAUGGGCACUGAGACAAGGGCCCAGGUCCUACGGGGCGCAGCAGUCGCGCAACCUUUGCAAUACACGCAAGUGUGACAGGGCUAUCCCGAGUGUCGUCCGCUGAGGAUGGCUUUUACCCAGUCUAGAAAGCUGGGGGAAUAAGGAGAGGGCAAGUCUGGUGUCAGCCGCCGCGGUAAUACCAGCUCUCCGAGUGGUGUGGAUGUUUAUUGGGCCUAAAGCAUCCGUAGCUGGCCAAGUUAGUCCCCUGUUAAACCCACCGAAUUAAUCGUUGGCGUGCGGGGGAUACUGCUCGGCUAGGGGGCGGGAGAGGCAGACGGUAUUUUCGGGGUAGGGGUGAAAUCCUAUAAUCCCGGGAAGACCACCAGUGGCGAAGGCUGUCUGCUAGAACGCGCCCGACGGUGAGGGAUGAAAGCUGGGGGAGCGAACCGGAUUAGAUACCCGGGUAGUCCCAGCUGUAAACGAUGCAGGCUAGGUGUUUGGACGGCCACGUGCCGUUCUAGUGCCGCAGGGAAGCUGUUAAGCCUGCCGCCUGGGGAGUACGGGUCGCAAGAUUGAAAACUUAAAA